GUCCCAGGAGACCCGUGGCAUCUCGGGGUCACGGAGAGCUCCUCAUGGACAGACACAUCCCGGUGGACGCGGCCCACCCUCCCGGCACCAUCGGACGCCGGCCUGAAGCUGGGCUCCGUUUCUGCUGCCAAGUCCCCUCCAGACGGGGACCCUGCACGGAGCAGCCCGCAGCCCUGCCCGAGCCGAGGACGGUGGCCUCUCCUCCCCGCGAUCCAAGGACGACGGGCUUCCGACUCCAAGUCCAAGUUCACCGACACGGGCUUAACGAUGACUAAUGCCUGGGUGAUUAUCUUGUGCUUUCUCUGUGCGGCGC
Molecule: long non-coding RNA, 313 nt
Organism: Suricata suricatta (meerkat)
Lineage: Eukaryota; Metazoa; Chordata; Mammalia; Carnivora; Herpestidae
Exons: 3
Source: RefSeq, a predicted model, not a curated record